RNAcentral lists this ribosomal RNA (253 nucleotides) under uncultured bacterium. RNAcentral's name for it is "partial 16S ribosomal RNA". It matches the Rfam family "Bacterial small subunit ribosomal RNA", at positions 524 to 776 of the family's 1533-position model. The record is from RNAcentral.
UACGUAGGGGGCAAGCGUUGUCCGGAUUCAUUGGGCGUAAAGAGCGUGUAGGCGGCCAGGUAGGUCGGUUGUGAAAACUGGAGGCUCAACCUUCAGAGGUCGACCGAAACCAUCUGGCUAGAGUCCGGGAGAGGAGAGUGGAAUUCCUGGUGUAGCGGUGAAAUGCGCAGAUAUCAGGAGGAACACCGGUGGCGAAGGCGGGACUCUGGGCCGAUACUGACGCUGAGGAGCGAAAGCGUGGGGAGCGAACAGG